Molecule: long non-coding RNA, 2918 nt
Organism: Drosophila pseudoobscura
Lineage: Eukaryota; Metazoa; Arthropoda; Insecta; Diptera; Drosophilidae
Exons: 3
Source: RefSeq, a predicted model, not a curated record
ACAGUUGCCAUUGAAGCGAUGAAUCUGCAAGGGUAUCUAUAGCUGUGGCUCCAAAGCUAGCCUUUCUUUCUUUCCGCUUUUUUUUUGUAGCAGGUAUCUUUUCCAGCUGCACUGAUGCGUCGCCAAAUGUUUACCCUAGGCCCAUAGCUGUUGCACGCUCUCUUGUUGCUGCACUUAGCUAUGCAAUUUUCUGAGCCACCGCCUGUAGAGUGGUGCUCUCCCUCUCCCUCUCUCAAGCUCCGAUUCUGGCUGUGUGCUCCGUAGCCUCUCUCUCUGUUUGGCAUACAAAAUGCAUCUAAUUUUGGGCCUAACGACAACUUGUCGCUUGUCAUGGUCUCCCGGUCUGAUCUAUGUUGCUGUUGCAUUCGUUGUUGCUGUUGCUGUUGCUGCUGGUGGCAUGCCUCAUCAUCAUUUGCAACUGCUGGCGGCAGCAGCUGCCUCACUUGGGGAUCAACUGUUCAACUGUGCUUUAUCUGUACAGCUUUUAGCUGCGCCUCGUAAUCGCAGCUCAUAGAUCAAAAAGCGCCAGAGAACAACAGAAGAGCGAGACGUGUGGCUGCAUCUCUUUUCCUUAUGUGAACCAGGUCCAGUUCCCAUCAGGCACUCGAGAGGCAGUCCAGUCAGGCAGGGGUUGAUCACAUUCCAACGCACAGCUGCUGUCGUUCCAGCCAGUGCUGUGGCCAGUGCCCACCCACGCCAAUGGACAAAAAAAAAAAAUAGAAAACCAAACCGAGUUUGGGCCACGUUUUCCCACUGACCAAAUGACAGGAUUGCGGCCAUUCCCACAGUCCAUGCAACAUUUUCCAGCCAAUUCCGGCAAAUGCAAAUUAGCCAUCUCAUUUUCGCUCUGAUUAAAGGUAAUUUUCAAAUUUCCCCAACAACCCUCUGCGACACCGGGAACGGACAGCAACAACAGCAGGCCAGGCGGCAACUUUGGCACUGCCGGCAAUUUCGAUCUCGCCUGUCGUCCAUUUAAUGAUUUCAAAUCGGAGCAGCAGGCCCAGACCCAGACCCAGGCCCAGGCCCAAGACCAGAAACUUGUUGGAUGUCUGGUGGUGCACCAUGUUGCGCGACCGGACCGGACAAUGUCUAGGGGCCAUUCCUGUGUCUCUCUGGUUCCAGCUGUGGCCGCGGGAAAUAGGAAAAUUGCCGAAACUAAAACCAAAACGCGUGCGCAUUGAAUUAUGCAAAAAUUUUAACCAUUUGCCGCCAAUCAAUUUGUAUUGCCUACCAUCUGUGGGAUUUUCCCCGACAAACCAGCAUAAUAUUAAAACAAUGGAUGUGAUUGGUUGGCCCCUAAAUAUGCCAUUACAUAUCGGACAUCUUUAUCCUUAACUUACUUGGUAGCACUCCGCUUUGAGGUCAACUCGGGGUCGGGGUCGGGGUCGCUCAUUAAGCUAGACCCAGAGCCUGGUCCAACGUAUCAACUUACCCGAACAGGAAGCAUUCGAUGCGACGACCAUUUCCAGUUCCAGUUCCUAGGCCCCAUCACAGGCCAAUUGAUUGACAAGACGAGAGUCCACAGCAUUUGUCUGCAAGAAAAGAAUGGGGAAUGGUAAUUGACAUAAGUAUCAAUGAAUUCAGGCGAGGGUCGAUACAUUUCAAUGCUCUUUGGUUGAGACUGAUGUAACCCCAUCGAACGACCCUCGGUGGUAUCCUAUCCGCUUACCACUUACAGCUCCCAUAACGACAGGAAACGAGAGCAACAAAAACUUGCCUCAAUAAGUUGCCACAGCGUUACAUGCGGCCUUACCUUACCCCUUUUUUUUGCCAUGCCCGAUGCGAUGCCAGAUGCGUAGUCCAAAAACAGUGGACAAGAGGGUUGGGACCCUGAACUUAGCAUCCAGUUUGACUGGAACUGGAAGCAAGUUAAUUGAAUUAAGGCUGUCCGCGAGUCACCCGUCCCCCAAUCUACUGGCCGGACUACGCUCCUGCGUUGAUUUAUGUGAACAGAUCUGGUAGGGUGGUGGUGGCUGACUGGCUGGGGCUACAAUUGACAAUUGCUCGACUCGGGUCGACUCUGAUCGGUUGGUUGACUCAAUGGAAUGCAGUCGGUGGUUGCAGCUGCAACGAGGCAGAGAGACGGAGAGCCAAAGAGCCAUAGAGCCAGAGAAACAGAGAGGAGUUGUUGCCGACUGCCACAUGCCAUGCCACAAAUGAAAUGCCUGGCAUUUCGUCUAGCUAUCGGGAAAGUGUGGUACUGGUACCUCCAGUGGUAACCAACCAGUGUUGAGUAAGUCACUUAUUAAGUGUCAUCUCCAUGUCGCCAAAGGCGCCGCCUCGCGCCAAAAUGCAAAUGAUAAACUGACAGCCUUAUGACAGCAUUAAGCAAAUUGCUCGCCAGCCGCCCAGACGAUAAGCAGACAUCGGGGAUAUCGCCAUAGGAAUGGGCUCGCUCCGAAUGGAAGCAGAUGCAGAUGUGGCAUGGGGCAUGGGCAGUGGCAGGCGCACAAGUCGAGUUAACGAUUGGCUUAAUAAAAUGAAAUAUUAAAUGCGAUUAAAAACGCAAAGACGACGACAACGACAACAGCGAAGACGACAACGUGGAAGGCGACGAUGCAAUAAAUAUAUUGGGAACAGGCCAAACAGCUACUGGACUUGUGUGUGGACACCAGACGCCGGACGUAGUAGCACAAUUCCAGCUCCAGCUUCAGCUCCAAUUCGAGUUUGGGCUCGGGUCGGGGUUGGGGUUGCCCCUCUCCGAAAGACAUGAUAAAAAUGUGAAAUGCAUGCGUUCAUUAAAUUAAUGCGCAUGGGGCAAGGCAAGCAGCCAUGGAGCCUGAGUCUGAGCCUGAGCCUGAGCAGAUAAUUAAAUGCGUGUUUGUGGCAUGGUCAGUGGGCAAUGGGGCAAGGUGCUCGUAAUGACAUUAAAUAUGUUUAAACAUGCAUAAAUAAAAGGAGGCCGGAGACCCCGAUCC